RNAcentral lists this ribosomal RNA (468 nucleotides) under uncultured bacterium. Its description in RNAcentral is "partial 16S ribosomal RNA". It matches the Rfam family "Bacterial small subunit ribosomal RNA", at positions 28 to 507 of the family's 1533-position model. The record is from RNAcentral.
GACGAACGCUGGCGGCGUGCUUAACACAUGCAAGUCGAACGGAAAGGCCCUGCUUUUGUGGGGUGCUCGAGUGGCGAACGGGUGAGUAACACGUGAGUAACCUGCCCUUGACUUUGGGAUAACUUCAGGAAACUGGGGCUAAUACCGGAUAGGAGCUCCUGCUGCAUGGUGGGGGUUGGAAAGUUUCGGCGGUUGGGGAUGGACUCGCGGCUUAUCAGCUUGUUGGUGGGGUAGUGGCUUACCAAGGCUUUGACGGGUAGCCGGCCUGAGAGGGUGACCGGCCAAAAUGGGACUGAGAUACGGCCCAGACUCCUACGGGAGGCAGCAGUGGGGAAUAUUGCACAAUGGGCGGAAGCCUGAUGCAGCAACGCCGCGUGCGGGAUGACGGCCUUCGGGUUGUAAACCGCUUUCGCCUGUGACGAAGCGUGAUUGACGGUAAUGGGUAAAGAAGCACCGGCUAACUACGUG